UUAACGUCCGUGUUUUCACAGUCUUUCUCGUUUUAAGUAUGUGGGAGCCCUAAAUCACAGAUUUAUAUCAUGUCUUGAACAAUGGCACUGUGUUAGAUGCCAUUAGUUGUCCUUUUAAUAGUCAAAGAAGGUAUCACAGGUAUAACUGCAAUAUCAUUCUAUUCAACGCUGUAAAGAACAUAGACUUCUAUAACUAUUUCCGUCUUUACCUUUUCACGUACGUAUUACUUUUAAUUAAAUUGUAGCUGGUACCUGUGAAUAGUUGUAACUAAGAUUUUCCUCGUUUUAAGUAUAUGGUCGCCCUGAAAAGGGUUAAUUAUAUUAUAGCGUACCAGUACUACCUGGAAAUGGCUGCAAUUAAGGUGACCUUCGUUUUAAGUAUAUGGGUGUCCAGAAAAGAGUUAAGCGCGUUUUAUGGUACAAAUGGUGUAUUUUUCAAUGCGGUUUAUAUGCCCCGAUACUUUUUUACGCAAUCACGGAGCCUAAAUUGGCGUGUAAAUAGACGCAUCAUAAAGGGUAAAGCGUACGAUCCUGAGUCCAUGAUUUUAGUCCAUGAUUAAAGGGAGCAACGAUGGACCCAAAACCAAUCGUCCACGCAGCCCAGACGACGCACGACGGCGGAAAAAGAGCCCUGCUGGAGCCAUCUGUUGCCGAGCCCGAAGAUCACAGCCCACAGCCACCACCGUCGAAUCUCCGUCAGCCCCAUCGAUCCCGAUUACCGACCGAUCGAUAAUAGAUCAAUCCUAGACCCGGAAGAUGUCCCAAUCUAAACCCAUCCCCUCCCCAAAACUCCAUACGACGGGCUGGUGCCGGUGCUACGACGACAACCCGACACUUUUGCGUUACGGCGUGUAAUAAGCGAUCAAAAAGCGAUUUCAAAGCUCUUUAGAAAAGCGAUUGUGCGAGUUUAUUUAGAAGACGAGUUAGGGAGCGUAUUGUGUGUGUGAGGCGAGUUCAGCGUGUUCCUUAUAUUAUCCCUUUUUGUAAUACUGAGCCAAGUAACGGUAAUUUCGCGUCCGCGAUCGUUCCGCUCGCGUCCGGUACCCUGCGUCUUCACGAUAACCCUUCUCCUCCCCCCUAAAGUUCCCUUCUGCGUUCCUUCCUCGACGCGUAACGUAAAGAACCUCCUGUGAAUCCUUCCCGACCGUGAGACCUCCCUUCCCAAAACGAUCCUCCUUGCGUACUCCCUCGCGGAGUCUGUGUGAUGGCCGACCCCGGUCGAGCCGCGAGUCCCUCCCCUUGUGAAGACCCUAGUUUCGUCCCUAUUCCUCCUUGCCACGAAACGUGGCUAGCGCCCAGCGAAACCAAAGAAAUUGUAGAGUGCACCCCCACGUAACGGGUCACAAUACAAGAAAUAUAAAAUAAAUGUUAAGUAAAUAUAAAUUAAAUAUACAUAGAAUGUACAGGGUGUAAAAAAACGAAAUGUCACGGAUCACGUGGGGUGAUUCUACACCUCUGGAUCGGUGGAGAUCUGUCAAAGAAAGCGACCGCAAAAUUGACCUUGACAAUUUUUUUUAUUGGCUUAUCGUAUAGUGCUCGUCGAGGGGAUAAAAAGUCUGAAAGGAACCAUGUGCCGAAAAUCAACCCAUCCCCUAGAAAAAAGCCCUCAAAGUUUUCCUAUACGUUAAUGCAUUAAACAUUGAGUCGCGCGGUACCCCUCUCCAGUGACCUUGGCGCAUCUGUUUCGCGUAUCGCUCGAAUUUGAUGUUAUAAAACAAUUCUUAAAUUUUAAUCACAAUGCCAGCAUAUUGGGAAGAUAAAUUCUAACAAUAAGAGAGCAUAUUUAAAAACACAAAAUAGCUACUACGUUCAAAAGAAAAUAAAAAUGAAUUUAAUUCACCAAAGUUUUGCACUUCGAAUAUAAAUGCAAGAUAAAUGUUUAAUUUUAUCAUUUUACAGUUCGUUAACACACCAGGUGCAGCGAGUAAUUCGAUUAUUCGUUCCUCGAUCAAUAAUCUUUGCAUCUAUAUUCUAAAUGCAAAACUUCUGCGAAUAAAAUUUAUUUAUAUUGUCUUUUGCAAAUUGUAACCAUAAUCAAUAUAACGAUAUAUUUCACGAGAUUCGAAUGUUUGAUGCACUUCUUUGCGUAAUAAUUAACUGGUGCAUUAACUGGGUAACUACGGUGUAUUAACGAACCAUGAAAUGAUAAAACUAAACAUUUAUCUUGCGUUUAAAUUCGAAGUGCAAAACUUUGGUGAAUUAAAUUCAUUUUUAUUUUGUUUCGAACGCAGUAGCUAUCGAUUUUUCCGUCCAACCUGCGGCUCUUCGAAUCGCCUCAAUAUCCACAUCUCUGCGAGAUGCCGCGAAUGUAGGGGCACGUCUCCGACUCAAGCGUGACGCAGCUCGCCGAUGGCACUCGCCACUCACUUCAUCAAACAAACUUGAUGAACGGUCCCUUUUGGAUGAGGUUAAAUGACUCUGAUUAGAAUGUGACGUUCGUCUGUAUAUACCUGCGAUACGCUCGCCAUUCUCUUUAUCAGAGUCAUCUGCACUAGAUCGUCUGUUAUGACUAGAGUCCGAGCUCCUUCGCCGAGAUCUCGUGCGCCGGUGUCGAGAACGCGACCGCCUGUAUUCUUCUUCCAGGUAUCGCAACUUCCUUAAAAAAGGGUCUUCUGACUCGCUUCAUCGCCUCCGUGAACUUCCCCGGGGUGUUACACUCAUUACCAAAAGCGUAAUGGCGUAGUGAGGGAACAGGUCUACCACCAUAGCGGGAAGCGGGAAAUUGUUGAAAUUGUUGAAUUUUAAAAACUGUGACGGAUCGAGCAACUGGCGUUACUAUCUAUUGAUCUAUUCGGACAAGACGUUGCAGCAUAAUUUUGUGUUUUUAAAUAUGCUCUCUUAGAAUUUACCUUUCCUAUAUGUGAUUGAAAUUUAAGAUACAUAUUUAGAAAAUAUAACCUAAAUAUUCAUGUAAUAUAAAAGAAAUAUUUAAAAGAUAUUCGGAAGAGUGGUGAUCUUCCUACUCUUCAUGCUUUUUGGAAUUUUUCUAUCAGUUCUUUCUCCACUCUUCUUCUUUCUUCUUCUGCUUCUUCUUCUUCUCUUUUUCUUUUAAAAGAGUCCAGCAGUGAUCCUUGGCUGCCCGACCUAUACUUCCCAGGCUGUUCAGCUAAAGUCGGCCUUCCUCUUUUUCCGGAAUCCUUUGGGCUCUCCGUCUCUCCUGUCUUACUCAUCUAUGUUUUUCUCUCUCUGUGUUCGCUUCUAUGCCUAUGCUUCGCUACCUUCGUUUUUUUUUUAUUUUAUUAGUUUAUCAUCCAAUCGAUCUACCGUUAUCGACGUAUUAUUCCACGUCGUUUAUUAGUCUACAAUAUCGACUUUUUCCACGUAGCUCAUUAGUCAAUCUAACAUUUUACCUCUUUCGCCAGUUUCAUUUCUUUUAAGUAACUUGUUUCUGUGUACCUUUUUGAUGCUUUUAUUCACCUGUGUUCUUUGGUUUUUUCUCUUUCCAGCGGUAUUUUUUGCACCCCUAUCCGUUAAGAAUUUCCUUCGGAAUUGAUUGAUUUUGUUUCACUUCUCUCCGACAUGUACUGUCUCUAUAGCUAUCGUCACGUGACCCCCAAAUAUUUGCUUAAUUUCAUAUUUAAUUUCAAUGUAUUGUCUAUUCAGCGCAGCCAAUUGUCCCUCACUCGAAGAUCCAAUAAUAUUCGUGCCUAUACAUUGCCAAAAUUAUUAUUAUUACUAUUUCUACAUUUAUUAUUCUAUUUAUAUAUGUAUUUAUUAUGUAUUAUUUAUUAUUAUGAAUUUUUUUGAUGUUUAUAAUAAAGUUUAUCUAUUUUAAUACUUACUUGGUACUUCUAUAUGCGGUUGUUGAAUUUGUCAGCUUUCACUAUCAGAAUCUGGGUUAGGCGACUGAAGUACAAGUUGCUUUUUUAUCAGACGCAUCUUUUUAGAUGACAUUCUAAAAAUUAUGUAGUACAAUCCGUUGACAAUAACUUUUUAAAUAUUUUAACGUUAAAGAAUGAAUUAAUCACAUAUUUACAAGUCAUAUUUAUCUAAUUACACAAAUGAAGUAGUUCGUAUGCUACAAAAUGUGAGUGGUACCUAACUACAAAUGCUUUAUACACAAUUUCACCUAGUGCAUAUGAAACAAUUUCGUUCAAAAAAUUAUUAGAUUUAAAUAUUCCUAUAUCUUUAGAUAUAAUGGGAUAUUUAUAAAAAGUUUUUAAUUCCGAUGAUAAUCUGCCAAAUAUUGUAUUUUCUAAUAUGUCUGUAAUUUGUAAAACAUGGCCGUUCUUUAAAAAGACAUAACAGUCACGAAGUCCAUGAGCUUUCAAUUUAAAAUGAGAAAAUUGUAUUGAUUUUUUAUUAUUUUGUGUUUUAACGAUUAUGUCGAUAAUAUUUUUUUUGAUUGUAGGUGUUUCAUUUUUUGAUAACCUAUUUAUAAUUUGGGCCAGAGGUUUAUUCCACCUACGUAACAGGCUUAAAAAUAUUCCUAAUUAAUUUUCAAAGGGAAAGCAACUUAAUUCUUCCAACGAAUAUUUUAAAUUUUCCACAUCAUCUGUAAUAUGUACUAAGUAAUGAAUAUUAAAUAUACAGAAUUCUCUACCAUACAGUGUGGAGCAUUUAUUAACAAAUAUAAACAGCAUUUGUCGAGCUGUAUUUAGCCAUUCUGCGUUCAAAUAUAAUUUACUAUGCAAUAAAAUUCUAAUUGCUGCAUGAAAUAACAAAAAGUGCUCAUAAUGUUACGUCGCGAGCGAGAUACGACGCGCGACGUACAAAAAUAUAUGAGAGAAUUGAUAGAAUAUAUUUAUUGGAAUCUUAGUACGCGGUAGAAAAAGCGCUGCCACCAAUCCUAAUCGCUUAUGACGAUCUUGAAUCACUUACGAUUAGAACAAUUAAAAAUCAGUAAAAUUUGGUUAUAGAUUUACUGCUGAGUUCGUCAAUGCCCUAGUCCCAUACGGGCCCCUUGUGUGAAUUUGUGCGUAGAUGGUAGGCGUGAUAAUACAGGAAAGGAAGGUGUUUGAACGCAAAUUAAUUGGAAACUGAAUAUAAGUAACAAAUGUAUAAUCUCGAGGAAAAUAAUUAUUACAAUGAAAGCGGUCUAGUUAACAAAAGGUCCGUGCUGUAUAAAAUACAUAGAAAAGAAAUUAGAAUAUAUAUACAUAAAGACAAAGGAAGAUGAAUAUAUUAAAGAGUAAAUGUAAGGCACCUUUAUAGCAGAAAACUGACAAAAAGGCAGUUUGAUUGAUAGUAUCUGAGAUUAUGAUUCGAACUACGGUGUUGUACUUUAUAAUAAUUAUUAAACGGUGGAAAGAGAGACGGUCCCAGGGAGAUACCUCCAAGACAACAGUCUCGUGGGCCGUCUCUGUCUUGUGCGUAGUUGGAAAUUUUAACGAUUUAAUUCUUUUUAAUACUUCGAACUCUGUGUUGAACGGGACGAUCUAGUGAGAAACUUCCACUCAGCAAUAGCUUUCCACCCCACCCGCGAGGUCCUAUUGUCGAUGCGUUUUUUUUAAAGUGGUUGCCAGUAUACGUUUACGAGUGAUACGCUUCUGAGCCUCAAACGGUUCGUAGGCUGCGCGCUGAACGUCGCAGCAAGGGAGAUAGCGGUAGGCGGAGCCAGCUGAAAAUCGGCUGAAAAGUGCAAAUCUUGCCGAACUCUGCUCUAGGUAUCAGAAAUUAUCAAAGACAGUAACUUGUACCGUUCCCUCGGACACGAACAAACCUCUCUACAGGCCGCAAAUCGGUUUCUGGGCAAGCCAGAUCUAUGUAUGUCCAGACAGGCCGCAUUUAAGGAGCUCAGUCCCUCGCUAGCUCAUUACACUUGAUAGCGAACUCUAUCCUGACAUGUAGUGAACACGUCGCGAACCACGAGUAGAGUGUCUGUAGAUCCGCAGGGAGCCUGCACUUGUCACUGUAAGGAAAGAAUUUAAUUUGCUUCGGCUACUCCCUUGCUAUAUCUUUACCGAAGUAAAUCAGCACAGAGCAAUCUCAGCUUUUUCUAGUUAGAACGAUAGCUGCACUCGACCGAAGUCGGAGACGAUCUGAUCUCGCUCCGGGUGGAACGUCUCUAUUUAUACCUAAAUUCUGCUGACAAAGCGCUUUUUUUUCUAUAUAGAUUUUUCCUUCAGGAAUCUCGUGGACUUUGGACUCUAGGUACGUGACUCCCGAGCAUCCCUAGUCCCUAGUCUAGCGCGAUCUCCCUACUCUACGAUUCCACCCUACCCCGAAAUCAUCCAUACUUCGCGAUUAUUCACGCGAGCGUAUACGUGGUUGUACGUCGAUUAAUUAUCGAUACUAAGUUACCGACCGACUCACCAACUAAACAAAAUUAUCGACUCAUCAAAAAUUAUCGACAUACAAUGAAUAGUAUAUUUAUUAUAAAGAAAAUUACAAUGUUUUAAAUACAAAAAUAAAAUUAACGAAAAUUAAUUAUUGUAAUAAAAAAACAGGUAAAUGCGCUUAGCAGGACGUUACACUUUGUUUUUUUACAUCUGUUUCUUAGCGUAACGCUGUUUUAAAUUUCGCCGAAACUAUCCUGACAAGGAUAUGCAGGAAGGUUGUGGAAAACGGAUGGUUUAAUAAAGAAUCGAGAUUAGUCACUCAAUAAUAACACAAAUCACUUUAUUAACUCCGCUUCCGCGGUGGAAGUUUCGAUGGGCGUGUAAAUUCCCCGCGUUGAUGGCGAAUUGAUGACACGUUGAAGGCGAAGCGAAUAUUGUCGUUAUGCGUUAAAGUAAGCGAUAGGCGCGUUGUUAGACGUAAGCGAGACACGUGUAUUGCGUUCGAUAUUUUGAACAAAAGUGAUCUAUCGAUCACCAACGGGCACCGCGAUCACGCGUGGCGCCAGGAUUGAGGGUUUUGUUACGUCAUUAACGGACGAGUUAAUUUGUCAAGCGGGAUCCUUAAAUUAAACGAAAGUAAUGAAUAAACUUAAACCUUAACCUAA
Non-coding RNA from Osmia lignaria (orchard mason bee), 6886 nucleotides. The record is from RefSeq and is a predicted model, not a curated record. NCBI's taxonomy places the organism in Eukaryota, Metazoa, Arthropoda, Insecta, Hymenoptera, Megachilidae.